Molecule: ribosomal RNA, 950 nt
Filed under: uncultured organism
Description: bacterial SSU rRNA
Rfam family: Bacterial small subunit ribosomal RNA
Source: RNAcentral
AUGCGGUAUGACGGUACCCUUUCGAAUAAGAGGUUGCUAACUCUGUGCCAGCAGCAGCGGUAAUACAGAGACCUCGAGCGUUAUCCGGAUUUACUGGGCGUAAAGCGUCUGUAGGGGGUUUGUUAAGUCCCAAGUAAAAUCUUAAGGCUCAACUUUAAGUUCGCUUGGAAAACUAAUAAACUGGAGUCCAGCAGAGGUGCAUGGAACUUGCGGUGUAGGAGUGAAAUCCGUUGAUAUCGCAAGGAACACCAAAGGCGAAGGCAUUGCACUGGGCUGGUACUGACCCUGAGAGACGAAAGCGUGGGGAGCAAAACGGAUUAGAUACCCGUGUAGUCCACGCCGUAAACGAUGGAUACUAGAUGUUCGGGGAUUCGACCCCCUGGGUGUCACAGCUAACGCGUUAAGUAUCCCGCCUGGGAAGUACGGCCGCAAGGCUAAAACUCAAAGGAAUAGACGGGGAUCCGCACAAGCGGUGGAGCGUCUGGUUUAAUUUGAUAGUAAGCAAUGGACCUCACCAAGGUUUGACAUCCUAUGACAACCCUGGAAGCAGGGCUUCCUUCGGGCAUAGUGACAGGUGCUGCAUGGUCGUCGUCAGUUCGUGCCGUGAGGUGUUCCGUUAAGUCGGGAAACGAACGAAACCCUCGUCGCAUGUUACAAAUUUCAUGCGAGACUGCCCGGGUCAACCGGGAGGAAGGCGGGGAUGACGUCAGAUCAGCAUGGCCCUUAUACCUUGGGCUACACAGGCGCUACAAUGGCCGGCACAAAGGGUUGCAAAACCGCGAGGUGAAGCUAAUCCCAUAAAGCCGGUCCAAGUUCGGAUUGGAGGCUGCAACUCGCCUCCAUGAAGUUGGAAUCGCUAGUAAUCGUGGAUCAGCCAUACCACGGUGAAUACGUUCCCGGAUCUUGUACUCACCGCCCGUCACACCAAGAGAGUUGGUAGCUCCUGAAGC